Long non-coding RNA from Mus pahari (shrew mouse), 843 nucleotides. RefSeq lists it as uncharacterized. Lineage: Eukaryota; Metazoa; Chordata; Mammalia; Rodentia; Muridae. The transcript has 3 exons. The record is from RefSeq and is a predicted model, not a curated record.
AGAUCUGGCAGUGGGAAAGGUAGAUAGGGUGAUGGCACUCAAGUAGUUGACGGUCAAGAGGCAGGAAUCCUAAGAAGGAAGUGCUAAUGCACAGAUCCUGAUGCUGAAGAAAUCUAGUGAAGUCUGAAGAUGGUAACUGAGAAAUAAAAAGAAAGGAGUUUGGAGAAGGUAUAGACCAGAUCAGACUGGAGCUACGGUGCCAUGAUUCUACCCAUCUGGAAACUGAAGCCCAGAAAAACUCUUCAUUCUCUAAGUGGGGUCACCCAUGAUAUCUCACCGUGGCAUCAGGGAAGUAGCUAGUACAUCAAGCAAAGGAAGUUAUGUCAUUGGAGCAUGCCUUUGAUAGAAAUAUUGGGAACCUAGCCUUUUCUUGUUCCUGCUUUUACUCCCUGGCCACCACAAGCUAAGCAACUCCUUCUGUCUUGUGCUGCCACAAUGAUCUUCUCUCAUUCUACAGGUCCAGGAGCAAUGUGUCUACCUAUUGUGGAUAGAAACUUCCCAAAGUGUGAGGUGAAAGAAGCCUUUAAGGUGACUUUUCUCGGGUAUUUUGGUACAGUAAUGGAAAUGAUAAGUAUAGGGACAUCAAAUUCUCUGGAAAAGAUGGUUCUGUUCUAAAGAGAUCAAGUGAGUUGGGAUCGUGUAAUAUUGAACACCCCAGUUUUCUGCAAUCCUCCUCAUGCUUCCUUAAACAUCAUCUUCCCUGUAACCUCCUAUAUCCCUAUAUGCUCCCACUUCAUGUUCCUCCUGACCCCUGUGAAACCACCUGCUGUCUCUGGGGCUAUCUUUUGUAUGUAUGUCUUUAAUAUCAUUUAAAACAUAAAUUCAUGUUUUUGUGUGUUUAUA